CCUACGGGUGGCAGCAGUGAGGAAUAUUGGUCAAUGGGCGAGAGCCUGAACCAGCCAAGUCGCGUGAGGGAGUACUGCCCUAUGGGUUGUAAACCUCUUUUGUCGGGGAGCAAAAGCCGGACGUGUCCGGCUGUGAGAGUACCCGCAGAAAAAGCAUCGGCUAACUCCGUGCCAGCAGCCGCGGUAAUACGGGGGAUGCGAGCGUUAUCCGGAUUUAUUGGGUUUAAAGGGUGCGCAGGCGGAUUUUUAAGUCAGCGGUAAAAUCGUGGGGCUCAACCCCAUCCAGCCGUUGAAACUGGGGAUCUAGAGUGUGCGAGAGGUAUGCGGAAUGCGUGGUGUAGCGGUGAAAUGCAUAGAUAUCACGCAGAACCCCGAUUGCGAAGGCAGCAUACCGGUGCACAACUGACGCUCAGGCACGAAAGCGUGGGUAUCGAACAGGAUUAGAUACCCCAGUAGUC
This 458-nucleotide ribosomal RNA is filed under the name uncultured bacterium. RNAcentral describes it as "partial 16S ribosomal RNA". It matches the Rfam family "Bacterial small subunit ribosomal RNA", at positions 338 to 795 of the family's 1533-position model. The record is from RNAcentral.